Molecule: unclassified non-coding RNA, 238 nt
Filed under: Hevea brasiliensis (rubber tree)
Lineage: Eukaryota; Viridiplantae; Streptophyta; Magnoliopsida; Malpighiales; Euphorbiaceae
Source: RNAcentral
UUCUCUCUGCAUGCUACAGUUCCGAAAUGCCUCACGGAUUCUCCUUUGAAGACCCGUGAUCGCUGCUAGUGAGGGAGGAAUCGGUGGCGGUGAUUGAUGAAGAAGAUGAUUGCUGAUAAAAUGGUAUAUGCGUCAUAGCCAAUUAGACUAAGGAUCCAUUUCCUUAGAAUUUGGAUUUUUCUCUCGGCUUGGGCUGGUUUUAAUGUAGAUUUGUAUUUUUCUUAUGGCUUGGGCUCGU